Non-coding RNA from Caenorhabditis elegans, 21 nucleotides. The record is from Ensembl. NCBI's taxonomy places the organism in Eukaryota, Metazoa, Nematoda, Chromadorea, Rhabditida, Rhabditidae.
UAUUGGAGGCCUGGUUGUUUG